This 303-nucleotide ribosomal RNA is filed under the name uncultured bacterium. Its description in RNAcentral is "bacterial SSU rRNA". It matches the Rfam family "Bacterial small subunit ribosomal RNA", at positions 28 to 339 of the family's 1533-position model. The record is from RNAcentral.
GACGAACGCUUGCGACGUGCCUAAGAAAUGCAAGUCGAGCGAGGUAGCAAUACCUAGCGGCGAACGGUCGCGUAACACGUAAGCAACCUGCCCCAAAGACCGGGACAACGUUCCGAAAGGAGCGCUAAUACCGGAUGUGCCCAUCGGGUGACAUCGCCUGAUGAGUAAAGCGCGCAAUCGGCUUUGGGAGGGGCUUGCGGCCUAUCAGCUAGAUGGUGGGGUAACGGCCUACCAUGGCGACGACGGGUAGCUGGUCUGAGAGGAUGGUCAGCCGGAUUGGGACUGAGAUACGGCCCAGACUCC